UACGGAGGGUGCAAGCGUUAUUCGGAAUUAUUGGGCGUAAAGGGCGUGUAGGCGGCCAGAUAAGUCAGAGGUGAAAGCCCGGGGCUCAACCCCGGAAGUGCCUUUGAUACUGUUUGGCUUGAGUGCGGGAGAGGAAAGCGGAAUUCCCAGUGUAGAGGUGAAAUUCGUAGAUAUUGGGAGGAACACCGGUGGCGAAGGCGGCUUUCUGGACCGACACUGACGCUGAGGCGCGAAAGCGUGGGGAGCAAACAGG
RNAcentral lists this ribosomal RNA (253 nucleotides) under uncultured bacterium. RNAcentral describes it as "partial 16S ribosomal RNA". It matches the Rfam family "Bacterial small subunit ribosomal RNA", at positions 524 to 776 of the family's 1533-position model. The record is from RNAcentral.